Syngnathus acus (greater pipefish) is the source of this 592-nucleotide long non-coding RNA. RefSeq lists it as uncharacterized. The transcript has 2 exons. NCBI's taxonomy places the organism in Eukaryota, Metazoa, Chordata, Actinopteri, Syngnathiformes, Syngnathidae. The record is from RefSeq and is a predicted model, not a curated record.
AAGGGAAUCAUGUGGCUGCUUUAUUUUUGUCCACAUAGUAGGCAUGUGAUACCACGGAGGACCAGCACACACACACGUUGCAUUAAAUAGAGCUUCCUGGAGGGCCGCGAUUGGCCGAGGUGUCCGGACGGCGGGAUGAUUGAUGAUGGCGAGGGCAAGGCCGAGCACUGGCAGCAUAAAGCCCCAUAGACGCCUCAAUAAAGAGCCCCGGAUAGUGGAGAGGCGGGCCCUCCUCAUCACCCGCUCAAUAGAACAGCCCCCCCCCCCCCCUUCUCUCGACCCCCGCCCAACAUCCAACCUCUGAGGAGGAUGUUGCCGGGUAAUCACUUUAUCCCGUCUGCUGCAGGAUGAGAGCAACGGUGACAGUGGAUGUGUUGGAGGGUGAAAAUGGCUUCUACUUGAGAGUUGCUGGUGGUGCUGGGAUUCCAGAUUGGGGAGUCAAAGUGAGAACUGGAUGAUCCCAACUUUCAAAAAAGUGAUUAAUGCCGACGAUGCCGUCAGCAACUCUGGUGGCCGCCGUGCUGCCAACAACAAGAAAGCUGACCUCGUCAAUGAGAGCACGAUAGCUGAGAUUCCUGUCGUAACCACCCCC